This is a non-coding RNA of Chrysemys picta bellii (western painted turtle), 2763 nucleotides long. The record is from RefSeq and is a predicted model, not a curated record. NCBI's taxonomy places the organism in Eukaryota, Metazoa, Chordata, Testudines, Emydidae.
UACGGGGCGCGCGGGGGAGGAGGGGAGUCCUGGCCCGGCCCGUCCCGUCCCCUCCCCUCCCGGGUUGUGACCCCCCGGGUCCUUGGGCGCCAGUGGCCUGAUCCACCUGCAGGCCCCGUGCUGCCGCUGGAGCGGCCUGGGGGCGCCGCCCUGAGCACCCCAGUGUACCCCGCUCUGUGACUAGCCCCUUCCCCCAGCCGCUAGCGCCCAGCGGGGAGCUGCCCCGGGGUGGCAAUAGGUGAGUGGGAGCGGCUGGAAGCGGGGUGUCAUCUACGCUGAGCUGAUCCUCCGGGGCCAGCAAAUCCAGCCCGGCGCCUCAGCCCGAGGGAGUUACUGCUCUGUGGGGUAUCGCUGGCGAGGAAGGAGGGGGCCUGUCCCCGAAGAGCUGACAGUGAGGCCCCCGACAGCGACCUAGGGGUCAAGGAAGGAGAACAAAAGGGAUGGCUUUGUGGACAGACCCCUCAGCCAGCAGACUGUUCGUUUGCGGGCUGAAAUACCCCAGGCUGCCCCUCCACCAUGCCCUUGUUGAAGGGGGCACGGGGGCAUUUUAGAUAGCUCCAGUAUUGCCCCAGGGUUGUCCCACACAGGUUCUGAAGACAGUGCCCAUCUUCCCUCUGUAGGGCUCUUCCUCUAAGAGGCUCUGUUGGACCACCCUACUUCUCCAACAACAGUACUGCCUCUCAGAACUGCCAGCUGUCCAGGCACCUUGUCUUUGGCCCAAAGGCCUUCUGCAAAUAAAUUGGAGAGAGACUGAACAUCCAUGGGGUCCUCCGGCCUCCUGCUGCUCGAUCACAGAUAGGAGAAGAGGUUGUAUGUGCAUAAUGGUCAAUUUGUAAAUGAUCCAGUGCUUAAUCUUGAAAAACAUACAUCAUCCUUAUCUGUAGAUGAUCCACAAUAUAGCCUUAAUAGUGGCCUACCAUUUGAGCCCAUAGUAAGAGACUCUGGAGCCCAUAACCCCGGCAGUUACCCCUGGAAGUAUUAUGUAAGGUCAAGACAGUGAUCCAAAACCAACUGCCCAUUGGUUUGGUACCGAUCCAGUGGAGGAGUGUCAUCUGUAGAAUCACCAACACCACUUCCCACAUCACUCUGGAUGUUCCUUGGAAAUCCAACUUACUGCCAUUCAAGUACUGAACAGUCCAACCCUAAAGCUACAUAUUAACUGGAGUGGAUUUGUGGGAACAUCUUAUGGUCAACUUGGAAAACUACAUGCCUUUAUUCACAAAGGUGUGAAAUCCAGUCCUGUGUAGAGGGCCACUCCCAGGCCUUUGAACCAUUCAAGGUCACUUCCAGAUAGGCCCGAUGCUGAGGAACUGGUCUGGUGUGUGGAGGGAGAUGGAUUCAGUGUAUACUGUUGUGCAACAGAGGAAGUUAUAAUUUGUUUAAUAUUAUUAGUAGUAAAUAUGGUAAUAUCCAAGGCUGCAAUUGGGAUUGAGGCCCUAUUGUGCUGGGUGCUGUACAAUCACAAAAAAAAGAGAGUCGCAGCCCUGAAAGGUUUACGAUCUAAAGAUUUAGUGCUUACAAUAUGCUGGGAAAAGUACAAUUAACUAAAGAGGCUUUGACUCAGAAAAGCAGUGAAGCAGUAUCUACCGAAAUAGGAAGGAGAAUUAUGAGGAGGUAUUAGCUUACAUGGCUUUUGCUCUCCACCUCUUUUCUUAGAACAUUCACAAAAACAGGAAAAGAUUGCCUGAUUUCCUAAUUAAGGGCCCAAUUAUUCUGUCAGCUACACUGGUGUAAAUCUUGAGUAAUUCCUUUGGCUUCAGCAUAUUACUUUAAAUUUACAUUAAUGUAUUUGAGAAAAGAAUUUGGCCCUAAAAAGGACAGACAGGAAAUGCCUUUGAUGAUCAUCAGCUGAAUCCGGCUUUAUUGGCAUGACAAGCUGUUGAGUGUUGCCAAAGUGUAAGAAAAAGACAGGCCAUCAAUCAUCUGUCAGAGGCAGGUAUGAGACACCCAGAAUAGAGUUACACACUAGGUUUGGGAUCGGAUCCCCUGUGUCUGUCUAUCAUUACAGUCCUUUCCUGAUCUUGUAGCAGCAGGUUGCUGUAACAUGAAGCCAAAAUAGAAUAUCAUUUGGUUAUGAGCACUGGGAGAAUAUGUCAAUAUGAAAAUAUAUGAAGAGAAUAUGUAAAUUGACGAAGAGAAUACAUUAAGGAUCCAAACCUGCAGACCUUCUAAGGCCAUGUCUACGCUACAGUGACACAGUACAGCACUGCAGCUGUGCUGCUGUAGCACCCUAACGUAGAUGCUUCCUACGUCGACUGAAGGUUUUUUUUCUAUCAAUGUAGUUAAUCCAUUUCUCUGGGAAGCAGUAGCUAGGUCAACAGAAGAAUUCUUCCAUUCACCAAGUUGCAUCCACACUGAGGGUUAGGCUGACUUUACUGUAGUGCUCAGGGUGCAACAUUUUUCACAGCAUUGAGUGACGAUGAUCUCAUUUUUAAGUGUAGAGCAGGCCUAAGAAAACUAUUUUGGGCUUGAUCCUGCAUUCCUUUUGCAUCCAAAACUCAUAGAUGUUGUGGUAUUCUGAAAAUUGUGUUAAAAUUGUGAUAGCACUUUACAUUCCAUGGGGUUUUGCUAGGGCUCUGUAGGGAAGCAUGUGAUCAGAUUCUCUCUGUGUGUAGCCAGCCAGGCUAGAGUGACAAACAGGGUCAGCGUGAGCUGUGCCUCUGCAUUUUUAGGAAGCAGCCUGCUUUCUCUCUCUCUGAUUUUGGAUUCUUAUUUGUUAUUGUUCUGAAUUCUAAGAAUAAAGUAGUGUUUGUUACAAGCUUC